CGGCCCGUACCCUAAACCGACUCAGGUGGUCAGGUAGAGAAUACCGAGGCGUUCGGGUGAACUAUGGUUAAGGAACUCGGCAAAAUGCCCCCGUAACUUCGGGAGAAGGGGGGCCAUUGCUGGUGAUCCGCCUUGCGCGGUGAGCUGGUGGUGGCCGCAGAGACCAGCGAGAAGCGACUGUUUACUAAAAACACAGGUCCGUGCGAAGCCGUAAGGCGAUGUAUACGGACUGACGCCUGCCCGGUGCUGGAACGUUAAGGGGACCGG
RNAcentral lists this ribosomal RNA (267 nucleotides) under Streptomyces mooreae. RNAcentral describes it as "Streptomyces sp. DSM 41527 partial 23S ribosomal RNA". It matches the Rfam family "Bacterial large subunit ribosomal RNA", at positions 1638 to 1889 of the family's 2925-position model. Lineage: Bacteria; Bacillati; Actinomycetota; Actinomycetes; Kitasatosporales; Streptomycetaceae. The record is from RNAcentral.